UUUGCCUGAUUUUUUUCGGCUUUUGUUUUGACUGCCGAUUGCAUUACAAAUUUGGUUUGGUUUGUUUUUAUUGACAAUGGCUGCUAAAAGCGAUGUUUUGUAUAAAGUAAAUUCAAAACCAAAACGCAAAUCAAAUGCUACACACAAGCCAGCUAAGGAAAUGAAGGAGGAUGACGGUGCCAGCGGCAAUCAAAUGGAUACUUUUCAACAACAAGCACUAGAGAUACGCGAACCAGGACCUGACUUCGAUCCGUCAGCACCACCACAAGAUGGCGAAGAAUAUCUCAUGCAUAUGUUGUACGAGCGCCGAAAGUGUCCUGCCGUAAUUGCAAAGGAGCCGAAGAAGUGUAACAUGGAUAGAAUAGCUGCAGCAAUCGAGGAAAAUUUCAAGGAUGAGGAAGAGCCACUCAAAACAAUACCGUGCCAAGUUCGGCUACCUACCAAGGAGUGGAAAGACUUGCAAUUGGAGAAUUUUGAAUCAUCACGUGAAAAGAUAGUACUUCUACGUUUAGAGCUGCACAGACACAAAUAUGAGCAAUCUUUGGAGCCGCCUUUAAUUAGUGAUCCACAAGCUUGGCGUCACUUCUGUCACGGAAAUCCGCCAUUAUUAAAAAUUAUAUUGCGUUUCAGUCAACAUACAUUAGAGCAACUGCUGGAAUAUAUUUGCGAUUGGCUGCGUUGCGGAGAAGAAAAAGAAAUUCUGCAAAAUACAUCCACCGAGGAACCAAUACCUUCAACAUCGAAUGCUGCCACCAAUGAAAAUUCAGAUGAAACUGAAUUGGAUCUUGUUGAUACGGAUGCAUGGAUAGGUACUUGGUUAUAUGCUACAUUGGCUUGCCUACAUAUACCCAUCGAACCAGAAGUGCAUAGUACUUUACGCGACAUAGCACGCGUUUGCAUACGACUACGUGGGCGAGUACCAGUAACGGCUGCAACUAAGGCGGUGCCUUAUAAUUUAUUCAUACAUUUGAUAUCAAAGGCAUUUGGGCAGUUAGACUUUGCGGAAUUUGUUUGUGAAGCCUAGCUGCAAAAGCCAAUGACUUAAUAAGCGAGUACAAUAAAUAACAUAUAUAUCGUCGUUUAAAGUACAAAACCGCGUAUCAACAAAAUGUGAGUAUAUUUCAGGACGAAUGG
This 1134-nucleotide unclassified non-coding RNA is filed under the name Rhagoletis pomonella (apple maggot). Its description in RNAcentral is "protein Gemin2-like, transcript variant X2". Lineage: Eukaryota; Metazoa; Arthropoda; Insecta; Diptera; Tephritidae. The record is from RNAcentral.